Molecule: ribosomal RNA, 301 nt
Filed under: uncultured bacterium
Lineage: Bacteria
Description: partial 16S ribosomal RNA
Rfam family: Bacterial small subunit ribosomal RNA
Source: RNAcentral
CAGCAGCCGCGGUAAUACGAAGGGGGCUAGCGUUGCUCGGAAUUACUGGGCGUAAAGGGCGCGUAGGCGGCCAUUCAAGUUAGAUGUGAAAGCCCUGGGCUCAACCUAGGAAUUGCAUCUGAUACUGUUUGGCUUGAGUUCGGGAGAGGUGAGUGGAAUUCCCAGUGUAGAGGUGAAAUUCGUAGAUAUUGGGAAGAGCACCAGUGGCGAAGGCGGCUCACUGGACCGACACUGACGCUGAGGCGCGAAAGCGUGGGGAGCGAACAGGAUUAGAGACCCCCGUAGUCCCUGUCUCUUAUAC